Molecule: long non-coding RNA, 2840 nt
Organism: Taeniopygia guttata (zebra finch)
Lineage: Eukaryota; Metazoa; Chordata; Aves; Passeriformes; Estrildidae
Source: RefSeq, a predicted model, not a curated record
GACAGAAUCUCACCAUAACAUUUUAAUGUUAGUUCAUUUUUAAAGACAGUAAUCCUGUCAGGAAAAGUAGUUUUAUUUACCCUUAUCAAAUUCAGUUACUGGCAAUAAUCUCAAAAAAAAAAAAAAAAAAAUGUUUGAAGAGCAGAGGAUAUCUGAAUUAAUAAAUGGUGGUGGAUUAUUAAACUAGAGCCAAUGUUAGGUUUGAAUUUCAUUAUGGCAUGCAAUGAGAAAGCAAAAUAUAUCUGUCUUCAGACAUCAUUGGAACAACAUCACAGACAACUGUUUAAUCCACCAAACGUAUUCCAAGAUCAGAAGAGUCUGCAGGAAGAGAAACAUUUUCUUCUGCUUCUCUAAGAAAUAUCCAAUUACUGAAUUACUAGAUAGUAUUUUAAAUCAAUUUUUUUUACUGAAUAAUUUCUAAUUAUCUAUUUACUUUCAUACAGCAAGUGCUUAUAGAUUAGACUAUGAAAGCAUGUAAGGGACUAAAUCUCCUAUCAUUCUAAAAUAUUACAGUGUUUAUAAGUGGAGUUGAGAUGGAAAAUAUUUUUACACCAUUCUGGGGAAGCCAGAAGACAGUGUAGUCACAACCUAGGAUCUAAUACACUUACUAGUUUAGUCACAUCAAUUCUUAAAAAAGAGGAAGAAAGAAUGACUUCAGGGGUCCUUUAUGGAAGAAAAUCAAAAGUUUUGAUAUAUUUCCAGUCUCUUACCUUCUGAAAUAGAAAACAAGCAAGUAUUGACUAUUACCCUGUAAAGCAUCAGCACAAGAAUUUUAGACCUCUAAGACACCCUGCUGUGUUUAGAACUGGUGCAGUAACAAGGAAGUGAUUCCUGCUACAAAGAGGCCUAAUUUGCUUGCAGAAGGGAAGAUAUGCCAUCAGCUAUAUUGUUCUGCCUCGCAUUACUAAAAUCUCUAUGGUCCAUGAUUGUUACUUAUAAAUUGCUUCUCAGUAUAGUUUUAUCAGUGCUAGACAGAACACUGCUACAUGAUUUCCCAUAGUGUUCAAAUUGGUAAUAGGGUAAUUUUUCCUUACCUUUUUAUCCAUCUCUUAAUUUCAUGAUUCCUUAAACACUUUCUGGUCCAUAACUGUUGAUUGAACGCAUUCCAUUAAACCCACAAUACAUUUCUUGAGACAGUGUAAUAGUAAUAGCUGUUAUUUUCAAAUUUCAUGUAUUUGUGUGGCCUUCAAAAUCUUGUGGAGUGAGGAGACAUCUCUUUCAAUUGGAUGUUAAGCCUGUAAAGAGAUCCUGUGUAGUCAAUUUCUACUAUCUUCCACCAGAGAAUAGUCAUAUGAUCAGAUGGAAAUACAUACCCAAGUGCUCCAUGUUCACAGACUCUCUCAGAGGUCUGUUUAAGAUUUCUACUUUUCAAGCAAUAGUCUUUUAUCAGAUAUUUUAGAUGUGCUUUGAAACCAGAAUUACUCUGCUCAAUUUAGAUUAUUUUGAUGGUGAAAUAAAAAUAUAAGGAAAUGCAUUAUAGUAAUUACCUUUGGGUGUAUCGUGUCUAAAUCUAAAGUCUAAGACAUAAAAAAUACUUAUCUCUAUUUCUACAUAUUAUAAAUAUCCAUUAAAAAGAUUCAGGAGUAAUUCUAUUCCAGGUCCCAUCCUUUUAUUUGCUGCAGCAUUAGGAAACAACCUAAUAAUUUAGUAGUAAAAUAAGAGGAAUAAGAAUAAUAUAUUUUAUUUUGUGAAGGAUGCAAAUGCCAUGUGUAGAAUUCAUCACAUAUGAAAAUCAAUAACCACAUUUCCAUACUCAGCCUACAAUCUUGAUAAAAUAAAAGUAACUGCAUUUAACAAUGUGUUAAAAAAAACAUGCAUUUGUCUACUUGUUCGGUUUUGUUUAUCUGUCUGUUUUUCUACUAAAAUGAAAAGGCAAAUUGUACAAUUUUACAUACUUCUACAUUUCAAAGAACCUGUUAAAAAAAAAAAAAAUUCUACAAUAGGUGCAUCCAGUCUUGUUGAGCCUUUUAAAAUGAAGAAAGUUUAAAUAUUUCCCUCCUUAUCUGUCCUAGUUUAAAUUUAGUGAUCCAUCUCCAUUUUUACAUGCUGAAUGAUCUAUGAUUUUGUAGUAUAACAAUAUCAACAUCAAUAGCAGUGCCUGUUCCUAAGGUUUCAAGGAUAUUGGCACAUCAAGUGGUUAUGUAAUCUUUAAAACUCGAAGGAAUCUAUCAUAAUAAGUUGUGUAAAACAGAACUGUCUUCUGGAUUUACUUUAUAAAGAUAAACUUUAACUUUCUGCUUCUUUGAACAUUUAUUUAAAGAUAAACCUAACUCCAAAUGUAAUCAGAUCAUACAAAUGAAAAGUAUUUUACGAUUUUCGCACAAAAGGCAGCACUGUGUAAGAGAAGUCAGACUUCUAUUUAGUAUUUUUUUGAUGAAAGAGAUUUCUUAACAGCACAGGAGUUUUACAAUCCUUUUGUAAUUUUUUAAUAUUCUGAUAAUUCUGAGAAAUAUCUAUUUCCUGUGAAAUCCUAUCACAGAGAUAAUGCUGUCCCUGCAUGCCCAAUUCACGUUUCACUCUCUUAAAAUUAAUUCCUUUCUGAAAGUGUAUAAACAAAAGAAAAUCUGUCAAAUUAAAAAUCAGAAGCUACAAUCUCUAUAUAUCUUUAUAAUAUUCAUAAUAAUGCCCUCAAUGAUUGGCGUAAAAAAAGUUCUGUUUCUUAAAAUUGAUUCUGCCUAAUUAAUGUCACAGGGUUUAUUUUGUAAAGUCCACUUGACAAUUUUCCCUACGUUCCUUAGUAAGAAUCAUGAUACUGUUGUAUGCAAAGUUGUGUAAAAAUUCAUUGGAAUAUAAAUGGCUAUAAACUGGUGUUGGACAAAUUAAAAAGUGUACAGCUUUUA